This 1933-nucleotide long non-coding RNA is filed under the name Strigops habroptila (Kakapo). RNAcentral describes it as "lncRNA (ENSSHBG00005021324.1)". Lineage: Eukaryota; Metazoa; Chordata; Aves; Psittaciformes; Psittacidae. The record is from RNAcentral.
AAAGUUAACUUUAUUUUUUUAAUUCUAAUAAUUUCUAAUUGUAUCAAAAUAGACAUUUAGUUUGUACUCACGGCAACAUAUUUAGGCAGGGUAGGAAAAUCAGACUUUAACUUGUAAUACUGUAACAUUUUCAAAUGUGAGAGGUCAUUCAGAGCAUCUGCCUGUUCAUUUGCAUCAUUGCUUCAUGUUUCGCUCUUCAAAUGCAUGCCUAACUCCUUUGUGGCCUUAUACAGAGCCAUCAUCACUCUUACUCCUGGAGGCCCUACACUCUGCACGUUUCCUCCUUAGAAAGCAAAGAUCCACCAUUUCUUAUAUACAUUUUGUCUCAGAUUUUUUUUUUUUGAGCAUGAGGAACAAUUUUCUGUUUAAAUCCAGAAGAAAAAUGCUUUCCUUCAUAGAAUUAAAAAUGAAAUGAAAUGGGAAAAUAUUUCAAAAAAUUGUCUGUAAGGGGAAAAACCCCUUUCCUUUACCACAGCAUUCCUAAAUCUUUUCUCUGCCCCUCAAGCCUUUGUUGCUCAAAUGGGAUUACAAGCAGUUUACAUCAGCAAGGUGCCAGCAAGCACUCAGCCCCACUCCUCUACACAUACAGAGUUGUUUCACCACCCAGCAGCCAAAGGUGUUCAGCACACUCCCUCAUUCUCUGUUAUAAAAUAAAUCACUUCAGUAAAUACCAUUCUGGUUAAAUUUAGUGAGGAAUAGGAAACUUGAUGUCACUGUAAUAGCUUUAAAGGGCAAAUUCAAUUGUCCCUGCACAAAUGUAAGUAGUGAAAGGCUAAGCUUGAACUUAAUGGAAAAUUAUUUCAUUAACAGAUCAUUUAAAGUGGAAAAGGCACAGUGACUUAUCCAGUGGCUUUGUAUAGCACAAACAAGAUUGCCAAGGGGCAGAAAUAUUGUUGAAAAUAGAAGCAGAGUUAAAGUAAAACACAGACCUUCUGCAGGAGAGAGUCUUUCUCAGAUAUAUUUUUCCUUAGUAUCUAAUUCCUAAAGGUUUUCAGUAAAACUUUGAAAUAGUCAGUAACAUGCUAUAGUAUUGCUGGAGAGGUAGUGCAAGAUGAGAAAGAAAGGGAUACCAGGAAUCGUAUUUAUAUCUCUGAAACAACGGUAUGAUUCUCAACUGUUAGGAGAAAAAAGAGAAUGAAUCUUGAUAGGGAAGCAUGUAUUAAUUUGAUCUUACCUUGUCCUUUUUUGGUUGUCUAUGCUUAACUUUUGUUGUUGGCUUUUUUUUUUUUCUUGGUUGAAAUGAUCUGCAUUCACAAACAGAUUUUCUGAUACCCUAGCAUGAAUUAUAAACCAAAAUUGGAAGUGCGCUUACUAGGAUGAAUUAACCAAGUAGAUUUCCGUGGAUCCUAGCGCAACUGCUGUGCAUCUGGCAAUUCCUCCCACCCAGCAGUUGAUCUGCCUAAGUCCAGACAGCAGAGACUUGAGGGUCUAGGAUCCAGCACUUGGGGAAUUCUCAGCCUGUCAGCUUUCCUGCUACCAUGCUUCAUUUCAGAAACCAGGCCUUGGGUUACAAAGAUGUUUCCAGGUUCUUCCUUUUUAAUAACAACAGAGCUACCAGGGUGACCAGCCAAGCAUGGAGAAAGACCCUCUUCUCAUUAAAAUUCCCCAUACUGCAGAUAAGGGCAGGAACGAAUUCGCUCUCAGGAAGUACUGAAAUGAGAGGUAUCUGAUUCUUCUCUUUCUUUUUAAUGUUCUCCAAUUGUAUUGGUUCCAUAUUAUUCCAUGAUUUUAGCUGUACUUCCUCAGCUUGUUCAUUACCAUGAUCACAGCAUCCACCACUGUUUUCUCCACUUCAAAAAUGGUGCAUAUUCACACAGAAGACUUACUUACAAAGCAAAAUAUCUUGGUUAAUUCACUGCCUAAAAUUUGUGCAGUUGUCUUUUGUUCACUGUGUACAGGCAAAAAUGAGCUAAUUUGAAGUAUAUAGUGAGAC